Cannabis sativa is the source of this 1292-nucleotide RNA transcript. RefSeq lists it as uncharacterized. The transcript has 3 exons. NCBI's taxonomy places the organism in Eukaryota, Viridiplantae, Streptophyta, Magnoliopsida, Rosales, Cannabaceae. The record is from RefSeq and is a predicted model, not a curated record.
AUUACGAUGAUUCACAUGCUCGGAUCAUGGUUUUGGAAAUCCUGCAAGAGGACGCUGAAAUCCCAGUCCCAAUUGAAGAGUGCAGAUAUGUUAGGGACGUGUACCAGAUGUUCCUUCCUUGGCCUAAACACUUAAUUUUAACAACCGAGGUAACUUCUCAACUGAAAUUAAUUUUUAAUGAUUAGUGGAGUUUGAAUAUCUUCAAUAUUCAUCCGUAGUGAAGUAGGUUCUGCGAAUAUAUGUGCUGCGGUGGGAUGGAUGAACAAACUACUGUUAUACAUGUGUUAUUUGUCGUUAUACAGCCAUGUUCAAAUUUUGGGGUCAUUCAAUUACAACCGUUAUGCUGCCGAAAUUUCGGUAGAAUUUAGAUAAAAUUUGAUAUAUAUAUAUAUUAUGUUCUGUUUUGUUUAGGGUCCACUCGCUCAACCGCCCUCAAGACGUGAUGCGUCAAAGGGGAAAGCUCCGAUGCUUUCUCCACAAGGCCGUGGUGCACGGGAAGAUGACUUGUUCACGGAAGAGAAGAUGGCGUUGAUCCCUAAUUCGCUAAAAUGGAUGAUUCAUGAAUUCCUAAGGCUCAAAGAUAAACGUGAUAUAAUCACAAUUUCUGUCCCCCGAGGAUUCAUUGCACCGCGUACCCAGAUCACGUUAUCUGGAGAGGAUUUGCAGCAGGUUGCUACGUGUAACUACAUCGGCAACCAGGGAAUGCUGUUUGGAAUGAUGCACAUAUGGGAGAGCAUCAACGGUCUGAGAAAAAUUUUCAAGUUUUACGACCCAGAGCUUCUCACAGUGCAUGGGAUCAACGAUGAAGAACAGAGUCAGUCUUUUGACGAUGCGGCAAGACGAUUGGCUAAUUGGUUAUCAUUAAUGAACAACAACCACCAAAUGUUCUUUAUUCCUUGGAAUAUCAGGUAAAUUUUAUUAAAUUCUUUAGUGCUAAUUGUUCAUUUUUAUAUUAUGUCUUCAAAUUAUUUUUAUACUAUCUUACUUAUAUUCCAAUAUAAUUUUCUAGGAUGCAUUGGACGCUAGUGGUGGUUGCGCCAAGGAAAAUUAUCCAUUUAAACCCUGUAAAAGGCCGCCCAAUUCCCGAAGAAAUAGAACAAAUGAUCGGAAGGGCAUUCAUGUAUAUAGGGGACGCACAUCAGUAUCUUGGCCCGUGGCAAGGAAUUUCACAAGCAAACUGUCCAAGACAACCUAAAAGCCAAGAAUGCGGUUUUUAUGUUUUGAAAUAUAUCACUGACAUCGUCGCACGUGCCAACCCCAACCGUUACAUACAAGAUCAAAAAGCUGUAAGU